GCGGCUGUGGUGAAAAUGGUAGACACGCAGUCUUGAGGGGGCUGUUUCAAUUGAAGUGAAGGUUCGAGUCCUUUCAGCCGCA
This 82-nucleotide transfer RNA is filed under the name Candidatus Sneabacter namystus. It matches the Rfam family "tRNA". From Rfam's summary of the family: Transfer RNA (tRNA) molecules are approximately 80 nucleotides in length. Their secondary structure includes four short double-helical elements and three loops (D, anti-codon, and T loops). Lineage: Bacteria; Pseudomonadati; Pseudomonadota; Alphaproteobacteria; Rickettsiales; Rickettsiaceae. The record is from Rfam by way of RNAcentral.